RNAcentral lists this ribosomal RNA (626 nucleotides) under Kockovaella lichenicola. RNAcentral's name for it is "eukaryotic LSU rRNA". It matches the Rfam family "Eukaryotic large subunit ribosomal RNA", at positions 47 to 663 of the family's 3401-position model. Lineage: Eukaryota; Fungi; Basidiomycota; Tremellomycetes; Tremellales; Cuniculitremaceae. The record is from RNAcentral.
UAAGCGGAGGAAAAGAAACUAACAAGGAUUCCCCUAGUAACGGCGAGUGAACAGGGAAGAGCUCAAAUUUGUAAUCUGGCGUCCCUUGGGCGUCCGAGUUGUAAUCUAUAGAAGCGUUUUCCGUGCUGGACCAUGUCCAAGUCCCUUGGAACAGGGUAUCAAAGAGGGUGACAAUCCCGUGCUUGACAUGACGACCAGUGCUCUGUGAUACGCUCUCUACGAGUCGAGUUGUUUGGGAAUGCAGCUCAAAAUGGGUGGUGAGUUCCAUCUAAAGCUAAAUAUUGGCGAGAGACCGAUAGCGAACAAGUACCGUGAGGGAAAGAUGAAAAGCACUUUGGAAAGAGAGUUAAACAGUACGUGAAAUUGUUGAAAGGGAAACGAUUGAAGUCAGUCGUGUCCGAGGGGUUCAGCCGGUCCCGCCGGUGUAUUCCCCUCGGAUGGGUCAACGUCAGUUUGGACCGGUGGAAAAGGGCAGUUGGAAGGUGGCAGCUCCGGUUGUGUUAUAGCCUUCUGUCGCACACGCCGGUCUAGACUGAGGAAUGCAGCUCGCCUUCAUGGCUGGGGUUCUCCCACAUUCGAGCUUAGGAUGUUGACAUAAUGGCUUUAACGACCCGUCUUGAAACACG